RNAcentral lists this ribosomal RNA (507 nucleotides) under uncultured bacterium. RNAcentral describes it as "partial 16S ribosomal RNA". It matches the Rfam family "Bacterial small subunit ribosomal RNA", at positions 28 to 507 of the family's 1533-position model. The record is from RNAcentral.
GACGAACGCUGGCGGCGUGCCUAAUACAUGCAAGUCGAACGCAUUUUCUUUCACCGUAGCUUGCUACACCGAAAGAAAAUGAGUGGCGAACGGGUGAGUAACACGUGGGUAACCUGCCCAUCAGCGGGGGAUAACACUUGGAAACAGGUGCUAAUACCGCAUAAUUCCAUUUACCGCAUGGUAGAUAGAUUAAAGGCGCUUUUUCGUCACUGAUGGAUGGACCCGCGUUGCAUUAGCUAGUUGGUGGGGUAACGGCCUACCAAGGCUGCGAUGCAUAGCCGACCUGAGAGGGUGAUAGGCCACACUGGGACUGAGACACGGCCCAGACUCCUACGGGAGGCAGCAGUAGGGAAUCUUCGGCAAUGGACGCAAGUCUGACCGAGCAACGCCGCGUGAGUGAAGAAGGUUUUCGGAUCGUAAAACUCUGUUGUUAGAGAAGAAAAAGGAUGAGAGUGGAAAGUUCAUCCCUUGACGGUAUCUAACCAGAAAGCAACGGCUAACUACGUG